Arachis ipaensis is the source of this 1699-nucleotide RNA transcript. It is a transcript of the gene named omega-6 fatty acid desaturase, chloroplastic-like, with no coding region annotated. NCBI's taxonomy places the organism in Eukaryota, Viridiplantae, Streptophyta, Magnoliopsida, Fabales, Fabaceae. The record is from RefSeq and is a predicted model, not a curated record.
CGUUACUAACUCCUCCUCAUUUCACAUAUUCUUCCCCGCGCCUCCACACCCUCCCCUCCAAAUGCUCUAUCGGCGGCGCUUCUCAGCCUUGCACCGCCGCCGCACCUUUUGCCGCCGCCACACUGAACCUCCAUUGCACUGAACUUCCAUUGCCCCGUCACACCCCUUCUUGGCUCUUCUAUGUGUGUUGCUCACGUCGUUCCCUUUCGAACCCUAAUGUGCAUUUCUCCGCCACCGUCUUCGUCGCCUUUGUCUACCUUCGCGAUUUUAUAAAACUACAGCACCGAUCGCUCAUUCAGCGGCACUAACUAUAACCAAUGGCGUCCGCCGAGCAGCCAUUGAAGAAGCGAAAGCACAACACUCUCCCGGAAUCCCCACUGCCACACCACCGCCGCUAGCACCGCCGCCACAAUCUCCUCAAACCCUAGCUCGUCCGCGUACUCCUCCUCCUCUGCCUUUGUCACAGGAUGAGGUCGUCACCAAGCAGAGGAACAAAGAUGAGGUUCGAACCAUGUUUGAGAGCUACCGUCGCAUCAAGCUCUUCCUGUCAAAGAAGGAAAGUGAUUUCAUCCAUGACCUUGAACAGAGCUUCUUCGCUCUCGUAAAUGCUUCCAGAGGUUGAUGUGGCACUUUGAUUUGAAGAAGUUCAGGACAAAUGAAGUAAAGAGGGUCAAGAUAAGUUUAGCUUGUGUUUUUGCCUUUAUGGCAAUUGGAUGGCCGUUAAUUAUUUAUAAGACAAGAAUCAUGCGAUGGAUCAAAUUCUGGUUCAUGCCAUGGCUGGGCCUUUUCCUAACAUAUCUUGGGCUAUACUUGAUGAAAGGUCAUGGACAACCGGCACUUCUCUACCUUGUUCCAUGUACCUUAGGUUCAAGAAAAAUGGCAAAGAGUUACUUCAAACAAGAACAUGAUCUUGAGAAGAGAAAAGCUGAGGCUGCUAGGUUAGGGAGAAAUAUUCGGAUCGUAUCCCGGUGAUUGUGGAGAAGGCAGAAAGAAAUGAUAUCCCAAGUAUUGACAAUAAAAAAACAAGAACAAGAAUAAGAACACACUGAAUUUCAUCACUGAGGUUUGCACAAGUGGGAAUCUGAGGGAGUAUAGAAAGAGGCAUAGACAUGUUUCAUUGAAGGCACUUAAGAAGUGGUAAAAGCAGAUUCUUAGAGGGUUGAAUUAUUUGCACACUCAUGAACCUUGCAUCAUCCAUAGGGACUUGAAUUGCAGCAAUGUUUUUGUCAAUGGGAAUGUUGGCCAGUUUGGGUGUUUGAGCUGUGUUUGUAACAUCCCAAAAUUGGGUGAAGAAAGACAAGCUGAGAAAGGAGCCAAGGAAGGAGGAUCUAAGGUUCUCGGCCAAGUUUUGCUGCAAACUAGCUACAUUCUCCCUUAAAGCUUCAUUUUUUAGCUUCAAAAAAAUAGGAUAUUCUUGUUUAAUUGAUUUAGUUGAAUGCAUGUGACUGUAAGUUAAUUAGCAAGUAGGAUAUUCAUACACUAUAUCUUACUCUAAUUACAUGUCGGCACUAAAAACAUCUAGCAAUUUGUUUAGCUUGGCUUGGCUUGGAAAAUAUACACGUUAAGAGAUUUCUUAUUCCAUAAGAUUUGACUACAUGCUCUUUUAAUUAAAUAUUUGUUUGUGAUGAAUUAUAGUUGAUGUAUCAACACACUUUGAUGUAUGGUUGUUACGUAAUAUUAUAGUUGAUGUAUUAAUACA